Molecule: ribosomal RNA, 414 nt
Filed under: uncultured microorganism
Description: bacterial SSU rRNA
Rfam family: Archaeal small subunit ribosomal RNA
Source: RNAcentral
CAGCAGCCGCGGUAAUACCGGCGGCCCGAGUGGCGGCCACUAUUAUUGGGCUUAAAGCGUCCGUAGCCGGGGUGGGAAGUCCUCCGGGAAAUCUGGCCGCUUAACGGUCAGAAUGCCGGAGGAUACUCCCAGCCUAGGGAGCGGGAGAGGCCGAGGGUAUUCCCGGAGUAGGGGUGAAAUCCUAUAAUCCCGGGAGGACCACCUGUGGCGAAGGCGCUCGGCUGGAACGCGUCCGACGGUGAGGGACGAAGGCCAGGGGAGCAAACCGGAUUAGAUACCCGGGUAGUCCUGGCUGUAAACGAUGCGGACUUUGUGUCGGACAAGCUAUGAGCUUGUCCGGUGCCGGAGGGAAACCGUUAAGUCCGCCGCCUGGGGAGUACGGCCGCAAGGCUGAAACUUAAAGGAAUUGGCGGG